This 489-nucleotide ribosomal RNA is filed under the name Gilliamella apicola. Its description in RNAcentral is "bacterial LSU rRNA". It matches the Rfam family "Bacterial large subunit ribosomal RNA", at positions 2444 to 2925 of the family's 2925-position model. Lineage: Bacteria; Pseudomonadati; Pseudomonadota; Gammaproteobacteria; Orbales; Orbaceae. RNAcentral also lists the same sequence under 1 other name. The record is from RNAcentral.
AUCGCUCAACGGAUAAAAGGUACUCCGGGGAUAACAGGCUGAUACCGCCCAAGAGUUCAUAUCGACGGCGGUGUUUGGCACCUCGAUGUCGGCUCAUCACAUCCUGGGGCUGAAGUAGGUCCCAAGGGUACGGCUGUUCGCCGUUUAAAGUGGUACGCGAGCUGGGUUUAGAACGUCGUGAGACAGUUCGGUCCCUAUCUGCCAUGGGCGUAGGAAAAUUGAGAGGGUUUGCUUCUAGUACGAGAGGACCGAAGUGAACGCACCGCUGGUGUACGGGUUGUGAUGCCAAUUGCAUUGCCCGGUAGCUACGUGCGGAAUAGAUAAGUGCUGAAAGCAUCUAAGCACGAAACUAGCCUUGAGAUGAGUUUUCCCUGAAGAGAUUCAGUAAGGUCCGUUUGAGACUAAGACGUAGAUAGGUCAGGUGUGUAAGUGUAGUGAUACAUUGAGCUAACUGAUACUAAUGAACCGAGAGUCUUAACCUUACAACUC